Molecule: ribosomal RNA, 253 nt
Filed under: uncultured bacterium
Lineage: Bacteria
Description: partial 16S ribosomal RNA
Rfam family: Bacterial small subunit ribosomal RNA
Source: RNAcentral
GACAGAGGUGCCAAGCGUUAGGCGGAAUCACUGGGCUUAAAGCGUGUGUAGGUGGAAGCGUAAGUACCUUGUGAAAUCCCCCGGCUCAACCGGGGAACUGCCGGGCAUACUGGCGGGCUUGGGUCGCUCAGGGGCAGACGGAACAGGCGGUGGAGCGGUGAAAUGCGUAGAUAUCGGGAGGAACACCUGUGGCGAAAGCGGCUCACUGGACCACAACUGACGCUGAGGCGCGAAAGCUAGGGGAGCAAACAGG